Molecule: ribosomal RNA, 433 nt
Filed under: uncultured bacterium
Lineage: Bacteria
Description: partial 16S ribosomal RNA
Rfam family: Bacterial small subunit ribosomal RNA
Source: RNAcentral
AACGAACGCUGGCGGCAUGCCUAACACAUGCAAGUCGAACGAGACCUUCGGGUCUAGUGGCGCACGGGUGCGUAACGCGUGGGAACCUGCCCUUAGGUUCGGAAUAACUCCCCGAAAGGGGUGCUAAUACCGGAUAAUGUCUUCGGACCAAAGAUUUAUCGCCUUUGGAUGGGCCCGCGUUGGAUUAGCUAGUUGGUAGGGUAAAAGCCUACCAAGGCGACGAUCCAUAGCUGGUCUGAGGGGAUGAUCAGCCACACUGGGACUGAGACACGGCCCAGACUCCUACGGGAGGCAGCAGUGGGGAAUAGUGGACAAUGGGCGAAAGCCUGAUCCAGCAAUGCCGCGUGAGUGAUGAAGGCCUUAGGGUUGUAAAGCUCUUUUACCCGGGAUGAUAAUGACAGUACCGGGAGAUUAAGCUCCGGCUAACUCCGUG